Molecule: ribosomal RNA, 534 nt
Filed under: Vibrio fluvialis
Lineage: Bacteria; Pseudomonadati; Pseudomonadota; Gammaproteobacteria; Vibrionales; Vibrionaceae
Description: bacterial SSU rRNA
Rfam family: Bacterial small subunit ribosomal RNA
Source: RNAcentral
CAGCAGCCGCGGUAAUACGGAGGGUGCGAGCGUUAAUCGGAAUUACUGGGCGUAAAGCGCAUGCAGGUGGUUUGUUAAGUCACCCCCACAAAGCCCGGGGCUCAACCUCGGAAUUGCAUUUGAAACUGGCAGGCUAGAGUACUGUAGAGGGGGGUAGAAUUUCAGGUGUAGCGGUGAAAUGCGUAGAGAUCUGAAGGAAUACCGGUGGCGAAGGCGGCCCCCUGGACAGAUACUGACACUCAGAUGCGAAAGCGUGGGGAGCAAACAGGAUUAGAUACCCUGGUAGUCCACGCCGUAAACGAUGUCUACUUGGAGGUUGUGGCCUUGAGCCGUGGCUUUCGGAGCUAACGCGUUAAGUAGACCGCCUGGGGAGUACGGUCGCAAGAUUAAAACUCAAAUGAAUUGACGGGGGCCCGCACAAGCGGUGGAGCAUGUGGUUUAAUUCGAUGCAACGCGAAGAACCUUACCUACUCUUGACAUCCAGAGAACUUAGCAGAGAUGCUUUGGUGCCUUCGGGAACUCUGAGACAGGUGC